This 117-nucleotide microRNA precursor is filed under the name Pelobates cultripes (western spadefoot toad). Lineage: Eukaryota; Metazoa; Chordata; Amphibia; Anura; Pelobatidae. The record is from RNAcentral.
GGUCCCCAACCCAGUCCUCAUGGACCACCAACAGUCCAGGUUUUGUUAGUAUCUCCAUUUUAAUAAAAAAAGGAAAUACAUGGACUUUUGGUGGUCCAUGAGGACUGGGUUGGGGAC